Molecule: ribosomal RNA, 488 nt
Filed under: uncultured bacterium
Lineage: Bacteria
Description: partial 16S ribosomal RNA
Rfam family: Bacterial small subunit ribosomal RNA
Source: RNAcentral
GAUGAACGCUGGCGGCGUGCUUAACACAUGCAAGUCGAACGGAAAGGCCAUGCUUUUGUGGGGUGCUCGAUUGGCGAACGGGUGAGUAACACGUGAGUAACCUGCCCUUGACUUUGGGAUAACUUCAGGAAACUGGGGCUAAUAUCGGAUAGGAGCUCCUGCUGCACGGUGGGGGUUGGUAAGUUUCGGCGGUUGGGGAUGGACUCGGGGCGUAGUAGCUAGUUGGUGGGGUAGUGGCUUACCCAGGCUUUGAGGGGUAGCCGACGUGACUGGGUGGUCGGCCACCCGGGAGCGGAGACAGGGACAAGGCGACUACGAGACGCAGCAGUCGCGAACGGUACGCAGUAGUGGGGAGUAUGGCAGAAUGGGCGGAAGUGUGAUGUGGCGGUGCCGGGUGCGUGAUGACGUGCUACGAGGGGUAAACCACUGUCGACUGUGACGUAGAGUGAGUGACGGUAAUGAGUAAAGAAGCACCGGCUAACUACGUG